Molecule: long non-coding RNA, 976 nt
Organism: Pantherophis guttatus
Lineage: Eukaryota; Metazoa; Chordata; Lepidosauria; Squamata; Colubridae
Source: RefSeq, a predicted model, not a curated record
AGGAGGAGCCGCGGUCGCAGCCGCUCGUUUCUGCCACGUCCCUCCCGGGCGAAGGCGAAGCCUGGCGGGCAGCGGCCGGGAAGCGCCAGCACGUGCGCGCCGCAUGAAUGUCUGUUUGUUGGUGGUGUGAGCCAGUGUUUUGGACAAAGCAAGGCUUUAGAAAAAGGAUUAUAGAAAGAGAAUCACCAACCAAAGGUUUUUAUACCGGACCCAAUCCAAGGCCAAAAGAGACGAGGUCGACCGGAAGAAACAUCUCUUGGUUGCCCCUUUUGACACCUCUUUGGUUAGAUUUCCUUGAGGAGAGGUCCAGGAAGGAAGGAGAAUGAGACAGCUGAAAGGGAAGCCCAAAAAAGAGACAUCCAAAGACAAAAAGGAGAGAAAGCAAGCCAUGCACGAAGCCCGUCAGCAAGUCACAACGGUGGUGCUUCCCACCUUGGCUGUGGUGGUGCUUUUGAUUGUGGUGUUCGUUUACGUGGCUACCCGCCCCAAUACAACUGAAUGACAUGGAUUUUGAACUCUGCCCCUUGGGUGGGCAUGCCAAGGCCCAACAACUAAUCAAAGCCCCCCCUUCCCCAAAAGAUCCGUUUUUAAUCACUGUUACUAACAAUCCUUUUACAAAGGAAUCCUCUUUCUCUGACUUGAUUGACAGUCCACAGUUGCUCUGGUGGGAGGUAACAUAGAACAUACUUGAUUCCAGGGACCCAAAGUAUGUUUUAUCGUCUAGCAUAAUGUGCCUUUUUAGACCUCAACGGUCUCUUGCUCGCUCCUUAAAAAGUAGAUUCUGUUGCUUUUGGAAAUUUGUAUAAAUCGGCUUUGAGUUUGUCAGCAGCAUUGCUCCUGUCAAGGUCCUGUAUUGUUGGCUUCACGGCUGCCAAAAGAAGUGGAUUUUUCCCCUUCCGUUGUAAUUAUAUAAUGGCAUUUGAAAAACCUUUGAUUAAAAAAAGUAUUUAUUUUUGGAAUAAAGAGAACCACGUCU